AGGAGGCGAUGUAAAGAUCAUUAGCUGUCCGUCUGGAAAAAUGUCCGGCUAGAAACUCAACGAAAAUAUCCGGUCCUAGACCUGAAGAAAUACGGUGCCUUGCAUGUGUUUGACCAAGAAAAAACUCGAAGGGAAAUGACAAGACUCUAGACACCGUGUGGAAGCUGUAGGUACUGCAACCUCAGUCAAUUAAUUGUGGUUCACCUUUAUCAAUGGGUUCAAGUAGCGCAUGGAUAUAUUUUCCCAUUUUCAGUGAUCAGUUUUUCCUGUGCUUUUCGAUGUAAAUGCCGUUCUGGUAAAGCCACAGCAGUGAUUUAACCAGUUUUAUAAACGUCUGAGUGUUUUCUAUCCACACAGACUAAGCAAAUGCAUAUACUAUAUUCCUGGCAUGAGUAGCAGGGCGCUGAAAUGUUGCGCGAUUUUUAACAGAAUGUUUAAAAAAGUAGAGGGUAGAAGGAAGAGGUUAAUGUGUUUGAGGCAAUCAGUUGUGGUGUGACAAGGUAGGGGUGGUAUAAAGAGGAUAGCCCUAUUUGAUAAAAUACCAAGUCCAUAUUAUGGCAAGAACAGCUCAAAUAAGCAAAGAGAAACGACAGUCCAUCAUUACUUUAAGACAUGAAGGUCUGUCAUUCAAGAACUUUGAAAGUGUGUGCAGUCGCAAAAACCAUCAAGCGCUAUGAUGAAACCGGUUCUAAUGAGGACUGCCACAGGAAAGGAAGACCCAGAGUUACUUCUGCUGCAUAUGGGAUAAGUUAAUUAGAGCUACCAGCCUCAGAAAUUGUAGCCCAAAUAAAUGAUUCAGAGUUCAAGUAACAGACACAUCUCAACAUCAACUGUUCAGAGGAGACUGCGUGAAUCAGGCCUUCAUGGUCGUAUUGAUGCAAAGAAACAACUACUAAAGGACACCAAUAAGAUGAAGAGACUUGCUUGGGCCAAGAUACACGAGCCAUGGACAUUAGACCGGUGGAAAUCUGUCCUUUGGUCUGAUGAGUCCAAAUUUGAGAUUUUUGGUUUCAACCGCUGUGUCUUUCUGAGACACAGAGAAGGUGAAUGGAUGAUCUCAUGUAUCGUUCCCACCGUGAAGCAUGGAGGAGGAGGUGUGAUGGUGUGGGGUGCUUUGCUGGUGACACUGUCUGUGAUGUAUUUAGAAUUCAAGGCACACUUAAAAUAGCUAUUACAGAGAACAAAUACCAUGCUUUUGUUUGAGAAGAGCAAUCAACAACAAAAUAAUUUUCUGCCAUGACAGUUUUUACACAUACACAUCUGAAGGUGAAAUUAUGGCUUACAUUCUGAUAUCUUGCUCUUAUUUCUCUUCCUGAGGGUCCCAGUGAUCAAAUGAAGUGCCGUUUUCUUUGAUAAAAUCCAUUUUUAUAGCCUAAAUCAAAACAUUUUGUAACCCGUUUGUGCCGUGAAUUCCAUCUCUAUCAUUUUUUUACGGAGCAUUCAACGUAAUUAUACACGGUAAACAAUUGUUUAUCUAGUCAUGGUUGGUUUCAGUGCAUUCCUCUGGAUGUUUGCAACACAGCCAAACGUCAUUGUUUUUUUUGCAGGGAGUAUUGACCGAAGUGAACUGAUUUGAAGACAACGAGCAAUGACUACCUUGCGCACCAAUAAUUUUAGCGAAGCUUCGUUGAUUGACUGUAUUUCCGCCCAAUGACCACUGAUCUUCUUGAAAUCUAGCUGGGUAGAUAGCCAAUGAGCUGAGGUAAACGCCAGUAUGUAAUGGUUUUGGGUUGGACCACCAUUCCUUGUUUGUAAAUGCACGCGUAACGAACUCCAUUCUCGCCUUGACUAUCAGAGGAGUUGCUGUGACGCUUGUUACGUGCAGCAGUAUUUUGGAAAGUUGUAUUUUCAACGAUUUCAUUGAAAACAUCAUGACAAAUAAAUCAGGAAAAGCAAAGUCAAAGUCUAAAGUGAAAGUGAGACAGAUUUUUUGUUUGAGGAAUCUUUGAGUGUUAUGAUUCAAACAGAAGCUGGGGAGCUGUUUCUGCAAGGACAGGACGUACUUCUGGACGGUGAUAGCGACUCCGACUGGGAGCCCCCGGUGCCAAGCUGCCCGCUCUACCUCUGCCCCCUCUACUCCUGCCCCCUCUACUCCUGCCUCCAGUGGUGUUCAUAUGCCACAGUUCAUUACUGCAGGCAUGACUGUGCCUCAGGGCCAAAAGGGCACAGCAUGGAGGCGUCGUUGUGUUCUGUGUUGCAUGACCUGCACCACUUGUUCAGUUUUCCUCUGCUUUACAUCAGAAAGAGACUGCUAUGGGACAUGGCAAAGGCAGCAAAAUAUUGUGUAGAGGACUUCCAAAGGGUGUACUGUUUUUUUUAAAUAUUUUUUUUCUAAUAUUUUUUUUUUUGUGUGUGUGUUAGAAUUGCUUUUUGAUAUGUUGUAUAUAGUUAUUUGCACUGUUGUAUAUAGUUAUAGGUCAUUUCACCAAUUCGGCCACUUGGGUACAUUUGGGCAACUUGUGUGGGACACCUGGGUGACUUCAUGCUAAAUGUCAUGUAGCUCACCCAUUCCUGAAGUUAUCAGUCUGAAACUUUGCACACCUACAGUUGCCCUCUUGUGUUAUCCAUCAAAAUUAUCUCCAGCAUCCUAUCUGACUGUGUGGCUAUUCUAGUACAUGUGAAAGAUGAUGCGACAACAAUAAAAACAGAAAACGUA
Molecule: long non-coding RNA, 2656 nt
Organism: Oncorhynchus nerka (sockeye salmon)
Lineage: Eukaryota; Metazoa; Chordata; Actinopteri; Salmoniformes; Salmonidae
Exons: 2
Source: RefSeq, a predicted model, not a curated record